GUGCUGAAAAUAAACCUUUGUCAUCUUGUUAAAGUUGUGAAGUUCUCUCAGUGACUUUGUGUCUGUCGUUCAGGAUGAAUGUCUUGCUGUCCAUCUGUCUCUGGCUGUCUCUGAUGAUGUUAGUCUGCUGUGGAAUCAUUGAAAAGGAGACUCACACCAUGAAGACAUGUAUGAAUUCAAAGCGAAUAACUACACCUUUUAUUAUAACUUCUCUUAUGAUUAUUACUACGAUGUCUAUGAGCCUGAGCUCAUGAACAAGGCCUCAGGGAUUGGUCAGCUGAUACCGAUGCUCCUGCUGGGAUUGGCUGUCCAUCAAAUCUGGAACUGAUUGUGGGUGGAGCCAAAGACAGAGGCUUUAUCUGCGAUGAAAGUUGUAAUAAAAAAGACAAAAUAAAAGACUUUAUUU
Molecule: long non-coding RNA, 406 nt
Organism: Oreochromis aureus
Lineage: Eukaryota; Metazoa; Chordata; Actinopteri; Cichliformes; Cichlidae
Exons: 4
Source: RefSeq, a predicted model, not a curated record